This is a long non-coding RNA of Carassius auratus (goldfish), 666 nucleotides long. RefSeq lists it as uncharacterized. NCBI's taxonomy places the organism in Eukaryota, Metazoa, Chordata, Actinopteri, Cypriniformes, Cyprinidae. The record is from RefSeq and is a predicted model, not a curated record. The transcript is spliced from 3 exons.
GUUUUAAUGAUCAGUUUCAUUCAGACUUUGAUUCUGAAGAGCAUUUCAUACCUGUGUUACAGAUUUAAUAUCAUGCAUGAUACUGUAUAACAGGUCAAAGGUCAUCUGAUACAAAUCAGCAUCUAAAUAUUGCAGAAGAUUUCAUUAUAAAGCAGGAGGUUUUUGUACGACGCUUUCACUAGAAUGAAGCACUGUGGUGGACUUUUGGUGGAGGAACUAAAGUGACGAUCAGAACUGGUCCCUCCGUGAAGCCCUCCGUGUCUCUGCUGCCUCCCUCUUCUCUGCAGAUCUCUGGAGACUCAGCCGCACUGCUCUGUCUGCUCAGCUCUUACUCUCCACAGGGGGCGCAGGUGAGCUGGACGCUGGACGGGUCAGAGGUCACCCAGGGGGUUCAGACCAGCGCAGAGAGCGAGCGGGACGGACGCUACAGCCGCAGCAGCGUCCUGAGCCUCAGCAAAGCACGCUGGGAAGCCGGCGAGCGCUUCGUCUGCAGAGUAACACAUGACGGAGCUGCUCAGGAGACCUCGUUCCUCAAGAGCUCCGAGUGCUGAUGUUUCUCCAGUGAAGAGCAGCAGGAUUCACAGCAGUCUCCUGAUUUACAGCUCAAUACUCAAGCAGUCUUUCAAUGUGCUGCCAUUGCUGUUCAUUCAAUAAAGCUUCUGAACG